This 252-nucleotide ribosomal RNA is filed under the name uncultured bacterium. RNAcentral describes it as "partial 16S ribosomal RNA". It matches the Rfam family "Bacterial small subunit ribosomal RNA", at positions 524 to 776 of the family's 1533-position model. The record is from RNAcentral.
UACGUAGGUGGCGAGCGUUGUCCGGAUUUAUUGGGCGUAAAGCGAGCGCAGGUGGUUUAUUAAGUCUGGUGUAAAAGGCAGUGGCUCAGCCAUUGUAUGCAUUGGAAACUGGUAGACUUGAGUGCAGGAGAGGAGAGUGGAAUUCCAUGUGUAGCGGUGAAAUGCGUAGAUAUAUGGAGGAACACCGGUGGCGAAAGCGGCUCUCUGGCCUGUAACUGACACUGAGGCUCGAAAGCGUGGGGAGCAAACAGG